AUGCGGUGGUUUGAGCGUAGCCCCCACCCCGCCGCUCGCUGGCUCACCGCCACCGCUGGUCGGCUCACUGCGGCUGCCCGCCGGCUCGCAGACGGAGCACGCCGUGGCCGCUCGCCCCGCUGGACAUCUGCAAAAAAAAAAUCUCUGUUUUGGCAGUUUCCAACAAAAUCACUCUGUUCCCAGCAAAAAACACAAAGGUUGCAGCAAAAAAAAUAUACAAACAGGUUGAAGCAAAUCCCCUGGCCGGUUCAGCAAAAAGAAAUUUUGUUUCCAGCAAAAAACAAGAAAGAUUACAGCAAAAAAAAUCAGCGCGAGCACCACCUCACCGUGGAAGCAAUCCCAUGA
Molecule: ribosomal RNA, 345 nt
Filed under: Triticum aestivum (bread wheat)
Lineage: Eukaryota; Viridiplantae; Streptophyta; Magnoliopsida; Poales; Poaceae
Description: partial small subunit ribosomal RNA
Source: RNAcentral